This 427-nucleotide ribosomal RNA is filed under the name uncultured bacterium. Its description in RNAcentral is "partial 16S ribosomal RNA". It matches the Rfam family "Bacterial small subunit ribosomal RNA", at positions 355 to 774 of the family's 1533-position model. The record is from RNAcentral.
UGGGGAAUAUUGGACAAUGGGCGAAAGCCUGAUCCAGCCAUGCCGCGUGUGUGAAGAAGGUCUUCGGAUUGUAAAGCACUUUAAGUUGGGAGGAAGGGUUGUAGAUUAAUACUCUGCAAUUUUGACGUUACCGACAGAAUAAGCACCGGCUAACUCUGUGCCAGCAGCCGCGGUAAUACAGAGGGUGCAAGCGUUAAUCGGAAUUACUGGGCGUAAAGCGCGCGUAGGUGGUUAGUUAAGUUGGAUGUGAAAUCCCCGGGCUCAACCUGGGAACUGCAUUCAAAACUGACUGACUAGAGUAUGGUAGAGGUUGGUGGAAUUUCCUGUGUAGCGGUGAAAUGCGUAGAUAUAGGAAGGAACACCAGUGGCGAAGGCGACCACCUGGACUGAUACUGACACUGAGGUGCGAAAGCGUGGGGAGCAAACA